This 403-nucleotide ribosomal RNA is filed under the name uncultured bacterium. Its description in RNAcentral is "bacterial SSU rRNA". It matches the Rfam family "Bacterial small subunit ribosomal RNA", at positions 356 to 773 of the family's 1533-position model. The record is from RNAcentral.
UGGGAAUAUUGGACAAUGGAGGAAACUCUGAUGCAGCAACGCCGCGUGAGGGAAGAAGGUCUUCGGAUUGUAAACCUUUGUCCUUGGUGACGAAACAAAUGACGGUAGCCAAGGAGGAAGCUCCGGCUAACUACGUGCCAGCAGCCGCGGUAAUACGUAGGGAGCAAGCGUUGUCCGGAUUUACUGGGUGUAAAGGGUGCGUAGGCGGCUCUGCAAGUCAGGCGUGAAAACUAUGGGCUUAACCCAUAGACUGCGUUUGAAACUGUGGGGCUUGAGUGAAGUAGAGGUAGGCGGAAUUCCCGGUGUAGCGGUGAAAUGCGUAGAGAUCGGGAGGAACACCAGUGGCGAAGGCGGCCUGCUGGGCUUUAACUGACGCUGAAGCACGAAAGCAUGGGUAGCAAAA